This is a long non-coding RNA of Columba livia (rock pigeon), 10352 nucleotides long. RefSeq lists it as uncharacterized. The transcript has 3 exons. NCBI's taxonomy places the organism in Eukaryota, Metazoa, Chordata, Aves, Columbiformes, Columbidae. The record is from RefSeq and is a predicted model, not a curated record.
GUGGGUGCCAAUAACACUGAUAGACCCAGACUUCUGGGAACCUCUGGUAUACAUCAGAUGCCAGGCUGCUCUUUGAGUGCUGUACAACAUUAUUCUCCCUGCGUCUUGGCAAGGAAUAAGCCACAAAAUUCAGGACUGGCAUCGGACUUGGAACUUCUCCAAAGAUUACCAAGAUGCAGCGGGUCAGUGUGUUCUGAUCAUCUUCAGCUGUCUCCAAGUUAAUUUUCCUCAAGUUAAGUCUGCUUUGACAGUACAAUAAUUGGCAUUUAGGAAGCAUUCAUUUUCCAUGUAGGAUCCACAAAAUAAAUUCUUGGAGGCAGUCUGGACAUCUCAUUAUUAUUAGUUAACACAAUGUCACCAUUAUAGGCAGGAAUCUUCGGAGUACAGCUUUUGACUUUUAAACCUCCCAUUGACCACCAGCUGCUGCCAUUUCUGAUAGAACAUGCACUGCAGCAAUUCAUGUAUCUGUCAAAACAACAAACACAAGAAGAACUCUGACACAGAGUCAGAAGACUGUGAAGUAACAGUCUAAAGUAACAGGGAAGAUGAAGGGAUAGUAGUUAGCUUCCCUUGCAAUUUUCCUCUUUGUCCUUGUAGUUUAGGUAUUAAAAACCACCAGAAUAAUCUUUCUUCCUCAAUUCAAGCUAAAGAAAGAUGAAUCUUUCUGUCUGCUAUAGGACCUUGAAUUAGCCACAUUUUUGUGCCACGGAAAUAACAGAAGACCUUUGGAUGCAUAAAGCUAUUGCUUCUUAGAGUAGAAUCUGUGUAACUUUUAACACAGUGAAGACUCAGAUUUGCUGGGUGGAUGGAUUAAUAUAAAAGGUUUUCUUAUCAAGUGUUUCUCCUGAGUCCUUGCAAAGCCAGUCAUUUUCUCUCAAUUACAUUCCAGCACCUUUCAGUAGUUUCCAAAGCUCAAGCAAACCACACUCAGCCCCCUUUUUCUGCCCUCUCAGAUGUCGCGCUGUGUUUUGUUGUUAGGAGGCUCCCAUCUGCCCUCGAGCUGCCAGCUUGCCAUCUUCCUCACCCCCUGCGUGCCUUGUCCCAAACUCCAGACACUGCCUUGACCCUGCUCUCUUUGCCCUGUGGCUGGGCAUGCAGCAAUCACUAAGUAAAAAGUAUAUCUAAUACAAAUUUAUUCUGUAUAAACAUCUGCAUUUGGGUGACUCUUGCUGCUGAAGUUAGGCGUCAGUACCUAGAACCAUCUGUGUCUGAAAGGGGUGGCACAGGGCAUGAUGUGUUGCCACAGGGGAGUGAUUGAGGGUUCUGCUUACUGCAGAACAAUGUUUAGAUUUCUCAAAGAAAAAUGUGACUUAAAAGACUUCAGUGGCAGGUUCACUCUGUCAUUUACUGCAUGGAGGAAAUAUGCCAAGCCGAACACUGCUUGCCUUCUUUCCAAGAGCCUAAUAUCCAUUAGCAGAGCAAACUUUUAGGACGUUGCCUGCCUGAUAACCGUUCGCUCCGGAGUCUGUAUUUUAGAACUAUGGAAGCAAACUGUCAGGUGAGGCCUGAUAACUGUAUGCAGAGCAGACUUUCACAAAACAAAAUUCUAAGAAAUAAUAAUAAUUAAAAAAAAGUAAUGGAGUAGAAUAGCAGGAGUGCUGGCUCAAUCUGGGUACUUGUGCAGGGUUCCAACAUGAGUAUAGAAAACCAUAGACUUUUAUAUCUCUACAGACCAUUCAUACUAUAAUUCAGUCCAAUAGCAAUAUUCCACUUUCGGGUCUUCUUGCUUCUCAUUGGAUCUUUUUCAUUGAUCUUGUAUGUGCCUUUGUUUGGUUUAGCUGUAGGUAUUGUUUAUAGUCCAUAGCCUUGCAGGUGCUGCUCUCUCUGAAUAAAUUCUUUUCUUCUCAAUGAAGUGCAAAACGGGCCCCGGGUUGCAGAUAUCUGUAAUGUCUCCGCAUUAGCCUUGAAAUCAUUAUUUUUUCCCCAGUCAAUUCCAUUCUUUCUAGCAAAGUGCAAACUAGACCUUAACUCGCAAGUAUUCAGUGUAGUUUGUAGUUGCUUUUGGUAAAUAUGAGCAGAACUUCACAGCUUAGGAUUUCAGCAAAUCCAGUUUACUAUGUACCAUGAAGCAGGGACUAUGUUAAAAAUCAUACAACCUUAUACUUCUAGAUGAUUCAUUGUAUUUAGUAUGCAUUUACUCAAGGUGAAUGAUCGAUAUGAAACUUAAAUUGGGCUCAUCCACUGACCUGUGAGUAGUAAAACCAUCACCAUUCAGCCAACUUGUUUAGCAGAGAGAGCUCACAGUAGGCUUACCCAGGCUUGUCAUAUUUAUAGAAUAAAGUGGUUGAUGUAGUCAAAUUGCUCACAGUGGGAAAGGUCUGCGUGAGACUCCUUGUGCCCACAACUUACUGGUGUUCCGCUGCUGUUCUGCUUCCUUGUGGGUUUCCUAAAAGGAGUUCUUGGCCCCGCUACAGCUCAGGCCUUUCCCUUCUGUGUAACUUGAGCCAAACAGCUGCUGGUUUGGCUGGCGGAGGGGUCGAGUGCAUCUGCCACAUGUGUAUGCAGUUGUUCUUAUCUUAACUGGUGCCAUUUUGGUGCAGGGUAAAAAGCAGGAAUUGGCAUGAAUGUGUAAGCAUGGCAUUGAUCCCACAGUUGCAGCUCAGGUUCCCUUUUCUCAACACAGCUGUCUAGUGACACUUUACUUCACAGUACUUGAUAAACUGAAUUCCAUUUUGUAGUACCAGGACUCCUAUAGAUGCUGUCCUGCCCAGUUCUACUUCCUCGUAUCUCUGAUAACAAAGAUUUUUUUCCUUUUACUUUGUAUGUCAUGUUUCUUUGCUUCAUUGCAAAGUGUGUGUAGGAGGCCUGUGGACUCUUGGGAAAACAGACAGUAUGUAUGGCACAGUAAAAUCAUAGUUUGCUGUGACCAUAGAGAAGUAUGAAAAAAACAUGCUUUCCAGAAUUAAGCCGACUACUGUAUUUGUAUUUGCAGUUAUUAUAUGGAGUGCUAUGGGUUAAUACCAAAGAAACAGUAAUCAGCAAUUUAUGAUAAAAGGAAAUCAGAGUUUGGAUGAUUAGAUGCACAGCUUCAAAUUCCUUGGACAUUUUAUCCUUCUUCAAUUAGAUUUCUGUUUCAGAAGACUAGAAAUUGUAUUUAAGAUUAAGUAAUUCAAGCAAACACAAUUCACUGUUGUUUUAUCUCAACUACCAGAGGAAAUAAUAAUGCAAUCCCUCAUUACUUUUAAUAUGUAAUUUCCAAAUGGAUGAAAUCCAGGACAAUGCUAUUACACUGAAAUGAAGGAAUGCACUUAUCAUUGUGGAGAAGCAUUUGAAUACACCAGGCAAUAAACACACACACACACACACAGGAUUAUGCUGCAAUUUAAAUGUUACAACUUUAAAACAUUGAUAUUUCAAGCCAAUAUACAAUAGAUGGACACGUUCAGUAAUGAGACAUUGUUGGUCAAUCUGCUAGAAAACCAUCUUUGCAGCAGCUUUAGUAUCAGUAAGGAUUUUUAGGUAGACAUCACUGAAAAAUAAAUUUUUAAGGAUAAUUUUAAAUGGUACUGUCAGAUUUAAAGGGCCCUAUAAGAAAGAUGGGGGCAGACUUUUUAGCAGUGCCUGUUGCCAUAGAACCAGAGGUAACAGUUUUAAACCAAAGGAGGGGAUAUUCAGGCUAGACAUGAAGAAGAAAUCUUUUAAAAUGAGGGUGGUGAAACACUGGCUCAGGCUGCCCAGAGAGGUGGUAAAUGCCCUAUGCCUGGAGACAUUCAAGGCCAGGCUGGACGGGGCUCUGAACAACCUGAUCUGCUUGAAGAUGUCCCUGCUCAUUGCAGGGGGUUGGACAAGAUGACCUUUGAAGGUUCCUUCCAACUCCAACUAUUCUAUGAUUCUAUGAAAUCUACUAGACCUUAUAUAAAUGCCUGAAGAAAUAAUUUACUAAUCCUAUGAGGAAAUGAGAGACGAAUUAAUGUGUUCAAAGGUGUUCUUAUUACCAAGAGGAAACAUAUCCUGGCACACAGAGCACCACGAAUGUUGUUCCAGUGUGCCAUUUGCUGGUAUUCCAAUGGAUUAUGGAUUGAUGCUUUGCCCAAAUAAAUAAAUAAAUAAAUAAAUAUGAAAGUUAAUGAAUACAACAAAUGCAAUGUUAAAUCUGCUGACAUUGUUACUGAAGAGAAUGUUUGGGACAAUGAAGAGUUCUUUCUUGACAUUUCAGUCUGUAAUUGUGUAUAAAUAUAAUUUUAUUUGGGCUAAGCAUUAAAAUAACAUAUCCCAAGUUGUUUAGUAACUAUAAAUAUUGGUAAGAAGGAUGAUGAUUUUUUCAUGGUGAACUGAUUUUUUUUAAUUAAAAAUGAAGCAGUAAGGGGUCAUCUAAGAGGAUGAUGCUUAUUAUAAUAUAUUUAUGAAUUACAGGAAAAAUCAAUGAGGUACCUUUGUGUUUCUAUUUUAUCUUGGUCCAAAGGUGUGCUCCUUGACUACCUUCUCAAAUGUUUCCCAUACCACUAUGCUUGUGUUGACUUUGGGAGAUAUUUUAAUACACUUCACUUUUAAUUUUUCCAUUUAUAAGUUUAGUGACACACCUCUAAGUGUAGAAUUCAAGCUAGCUUCUUUUUUUCUCAGUAACAUAUAUGUUAAUAGGACAUCAGUAGCAUGGGUGAAGCUGAUUUUUUUCAUACUGUAUUAUAUGUUAUAGACAAAUUGAUUUUAUGACACAAAAGUACUUUUCAACAUGCUUGGGUAAAGCCAUAAAAAAGCUAUACAUUCUUAGUAACAUGGCUAUAAUGUGUUGUGCCUUGUGUGUACUGCAUAUCUCGCUGCUUUCUUAACAUUCCCUCAAAACGCUGCACUUACGUAUUUUGUGGAGUUUGUAGUCUCAUUUGUCCUUCCCCAUGGUUGCUGACAAUGGGGUAUCUUAUACACAACUUAUGCUUAUUUUAAUCCUAUUUAAAUUGCCUUUUGUUUGUUUUAAAGAGGUAGCACUUUCUAUAUGCAUGCUUGAUAGAUGACACAACACCAGUUUUAUAGACACCAGUCUUAUUUGGCUCAUCGCAAGUAGAUGCCACAUCACAUGUGUUCUGUCAGUUACAAGCAUUAAAACUUCCAUUUCAUUACACGAUCUCAUGACAACAUUUUCUGUUUUCAAAACUGUUGAUGAAAGACCUUCCCAUGGUGGCCUUUUGUACCAAUUGGUCUCAAUCAAAACACAUGUACUAUUUUUAGGAGAAGACGACAUAUUUCAAUCUACCACAUAGCAAGUUAGCUAUUUCCUUGCCAUGAAAAAUCAUCAUCUGCUAUGUAUGAAAUAACAGAUAUUAGAUUACAGGCUAAUAAAUCUCACUUCCGGGAUAAUAAAUAUUCACUUUCUUCCUGUCCUAACUUCUUGGAGAUCUUUGCCAAAGUAAUUUGGACAAUAGAUAUAAUAAGUCUGUUAAGACAGGCUGUCAAGUGGUAAAUACCACAAAGUUACCUACAUUCCAACCAGCACUCUCAGAAUUAAAACUAUACAUAUGCACUUACACCUCAAUAUUCUAGGGCAUGAGGUGAUAUCUUUUUAUAUAUAUAAUAUAAAGACUAAAGAAUACGCAAAUAAUUCCAGAGACAAACACAGUACUAAGAAUGUGUUUUGGCAAAACUGUGUGUUUUCUUUCACCUCGGUUGGCCCUGAGACCAGUGUGAGAAUCCCAGUGUUCCCAAGAGUUUAAUCUACCCAUGGAGUCAUGAAAAUUGUGCCAGCAAAAAAGAUCACCUGCGUUUCCGCUGACUUCUAUUUUCUCUGGAUAAUAAAUGUCAAUAUAGAACAUCUAGUACCCAUACUAAAACAUUUAAUACACUUCUUUUUGCUUCUUACAUUCAUGAGUAUAUUACCUUUCCUGAGGCAAAUAAUAAUUUGACCAAGACAAGUUUAGUGUCAGAUCUAAGCUGGAGCACUCUUUGACACUAAUGUCUCUUUUCAGAGAUCUUCAUCUUAUCUGUGUCCAUGGAUCAAGACAUUUCAUGGAAACUAUUUUUCCUGAGGAAAAAUAAAGGGAUGACUGAUGCAUGAGACACUCAGCAAAGAUGAGGCCUAGAUAACGAGACCCACUCAUACAAAAGAUACAUACUUCAGAAGGAAUUACAAAAUUUCUUUCUCUAUUUCAGACUUCAUAAAUAACCUUUUUCAUCUUUAUGACAGCAGCUUUUACGGACUCUUUUGGAACUAUCUUCCUAGACAGAACAAAAAACAAAUAUAUUUAAUCUAUUUAGAUUGUGUCACUAAAUUGGAGGCAUUCAAAUUCUGUACUGUUAGGGGCAGAUCAAUUUGUUAAACAACUGCAGCAGAUGGAUUGACCAAUAGGAAAAUGCUUGACUGUUUCCAUGCUGCCACUAAUUGGAUGUCAUCCCAGGAAACGUUUGUGCCAGCCUCUGACAGAGACUUUCAAACUAUAUUCUGCUCUGGAGUUUUGGGGUUUUAAGAAAAUGCUGUCUAAACUUCAAAUCCAAAAAUGUACAACUUAUUUCUCAAACUAUUUAAUUUUCAUUGAUUAAUUGUUGGAGCAAAUCACAUAAGCACAUUGUAAAGAAGCAUAUUCACACAUGCCUUAUUUUGUAUACAGUUUGAACCAGGUGGUAUAUUUUUUUUUUCCAUUAAAUGGCAGUGGUUUUAAAAUCUGCUCCCCUUUCCAUAAUUCAAAAAAAAGUCUUUGAAAGCUAAAAAAACAUUAUGCCCAAUCCCAAAGGAACACGUGUCAGAUCAGUGAAACUAUAAAGUAAGGUUUAUGUAAUAGGAAUUUUGAACAGCAAAAUCAGUAAAAAGUGAAGAGGAUUUUUAUAACUUUUUGAAAAUGUAUGGAAUUAAUGUGUCAGACUGCACCUUGCCUUCUGUCUGAGAAAUUCAAGCUGCAGUCUGAGUGUUAAUUUGCCUUUCCAUUUAGAUAUGAUACAUUGCCCUGAAGUAAAAAAAUCUGAAACAAGACUAUACUACCUUUAUCAUUGUAACAAUCUGUGUCCACCUCUGAACAGCAAGAUUGUCAGGCAACCUUAUACAUUCAGCAUUGUAAAUAGAGUUGAUGACCUCCAGCCUCAAGAGCCCAGACCUCUACCUGUGUUGAUUGCAGGGUGACAAUAAAACCGUGGCAGAUGUAUUGUUAAUCUUCUCUCCCCCCAGCUUCCCCCUUCAGCCCCUCCCUCUCCCCCCUUCCCACUAAGGACAGGCAAUUGGGAGGGAAAGAAGGACAGAGGGAAGAGAGUUGGAAAAAUUAAAAAUGUUUUCCUAAUGCUACUAAUAAGAAUAGAGAAAAUAAUACAAAAUAUACAAAAACAACCUUGAAAGUCUCGGCAACUGCAGAGCCGGCACCCGAAGUCCUGGAUAGGACUCUGCAGCCAACCGGAGCUGGAUUCAGUCUGUCACUAGGCCUCAGUUCGCAGGGACGACUAGCAAGGUCCUCUCCUAAUGUCGACCAUAAGCAAAAGGGAUGAGAUCCUCGUGAUCUCACACUUUUAUAUGAAGUAUUCGCGUGAAUGCAAUGUUAUACUCCGUUGGUCAGUUUCUUGGUCACCUGUUUCUCGUUGCCCCUCUUACGAGAUGUGAAUCUGUCCUUAUCAAUAACCUCGCAUUACAUUGCUAUGUUUACCACAACAUGUAUCUGGUUCUCCAGGAAAAUGCAGCUAAUAUGAAGGCUUUAGCUGACAGGCAAAUUCACUAAAAGAGCUAAAGAAGUGACUUAGGAAAUAAAAAAUGAAUUUCAGUGACUUACCUACGUACACACAGCUUUAUUCAAAACCGAACAGCAUAGAGAUAGACAGAUAGAGAAAAGAGAAUGCCUAGCUCAAGGUAACUACAUUAAAAAUACCAGGUCUCCCAUGGUCCUCAUCCAAAACCCAGUGGAAGCUAUUAAACCCUACUGAUACCCUUUUUGCAGUGAUGGUCCUCGGACUGUGAUCUUGCACAGUCAGAAGGCAAUGUAGUGAUGUACUUUGUCAGUAUUCAAACGAGUAACUUCUGUGGAAAACAAGGAUAUGAGAGAAAGUGUUUGUGACAAAAGCUAAACUGAGUUGUUCUUUGGUCAGAAAAAACGGCAUGUAAUUAUUCAUUUCUCUGUGGCUCACUUACCUGGGAAAUGGAAACGACCUGUGAAGAAUGCCGAAAAUGUUUGUUUAUUUUUAAGAAUGGCCUGUGAUAGUCCCUACAUGGACUGUGUACAAGACUCAAAAGCAACAGAAGGGACAAAAAAAGGCUGUACGGUCUUCUGGUACUUUCUCUCCUCUUCUAGUGGUUAGAGGAAGUGCUUACAGCCAAACAUAUCUUGGUCCCAAGAGAAUAUCUGUUCAAUAUUCAGUUUUUCAGGGAAUAUCUGUUCAGUAUUCUGUCUUUAUUCCAGGGUUAACUGGAAGAAAAGAUUUCUUUUUCUUUGUUCCCUUCCUUGGCCUUCAGUUCUUAGUCACACAUGCACUUUUUUGUUUUCUCUGACAAGCUGCUCUUCAAAAUCUACAGAGAUCCUAUACUUCAAGGCAGCUGGGAUUUUCAGCUGAUGCAUGGUAGAGUCAUCUAUUCAUACAGACUACAUAGUGACUCACAGAUGAACUCAGGAAACCUGGUUUUAAUCCCCAGCUUUCUAGAGAAUUUAGGCAACAGAUUUCUGUGUACCUCGGUUUCUACAACUAUCAAAUGAAAAUAAUAAAUACUUACUGUAUAGUGCAUAAUACAAAUGAAUUAAAAUGUGAAAGCCAUGAUACUGCCAAGUAUCUAAGCUGAAGCUUUGUACAGUUGAGCACAGAAUUCCUGUAUUGUACACUGUAAUGUCCAAUACUAGGUCAGGCUGGUCCUGAGAAAAUUCUUUCUGUGUUCUUGGACAUGAAAGUAUAAUUAAGGACAGAAGCAACAAAGAUACACAAAAGUGGAACACAAACCUCUGUUAAAAAUCAAGCCAAACAUUUCUACUUAUAACCAAAGCAUCUUAAAAAAUGUCAAAUAGAAAGCCAAGUCUUAUGAUUUUACAUAAAAAUCAUGGUAAUCACUAGCAACCUGGAAAGGAAGUUCGGGAAUAAAUCAGUUUGUCAGCCAGGCAGCCCUCAGUGAAUUUUCCUGAGGCCAAGGAUGCACAUGGCUUAGAGAAACCCAUUUUGUUCAUAACCAGGUCUGCUGAAGCGGAGCUGCAGUCCAAGUAGCAACAAGGUCACCAAAGGUUAUUUGUCACUCUUUCCCAACAAGCUGUUCAGACUUUUCAACAUUAAUAUGCCAGUAAUAUGUCAGUACUGAUGUAUCUCUCUCACAUCAUGGUUUGGUAUAAAUGAUAAUGUCACCUGAGUUGAAAUACCUUGGCCAUCUGUACACCUUUCUCACAUUCAUUCUGUCUUCUCUGGAAUGGAUACAUCUGGCAAAUACUUACGCAUCCUUUCACUAGCUACAUAUUUUCAGGGGAGAAAUAAUGUUACUCCACAUCUCAUGACUGUACAUGGAAGUCCUUUUCAAUUCUCCUUUCAACCUGAAAGCCAUUCUCUAAAAUAAGCAAAUUACAGCUACGAUGAAAGUAUCUUUUAAAAUCUCAAUGUUUUGUCUUAAACAGUUAAGAAAACUAAUUAGUGUCAUAAACUUCAAAAUGAUGAUUGUAUAUACACAGAUAAGCAGAUUCCUGAUAACUAGUUUAGCUAUGUUUACCUGCGCUUUAGAUUGGAAAGCUGCCACUUAAAUGUUAAGAAAUGCCAAAAUUAAAGUUGCCCAGACAACAUCAGUUCUCCUCCUUGUAUAUUUGCAUAUAAUAAAGCAGUUAACUACAUAAUUUUGUGUGUGUUUGUUUGCUUGCUUGUUUUUCCACAUUGGCCCUCUAUCUCAUCCCAGAAACAGCUGAACAUAUUCUUUUAUCUUCUUCAGUCUAUAUGUGACUCCACACGUUAUUUUUUAUUUACUGUCCACUGAAAGUACGAGAGUAUAUUGAGAUUAAACUAAAAGUGAUAACUUUUUUAUUGCCAAGGUGCUGUCAAGGUAAGUACUCUGUUUUUUCAGAAUAAUGCAAAUUCUCUGUAACUUUUUUUUUUUUUUUAAUAGGUUCUCUAUUAACCUUAGCUACAGCCCUGAAUAUUCAGUACGUCUGCAAAUACUAACCCAGGUGUUUUGAGUUGAAAUAACUAAUGAUGAAGAGCUAGAGUCACAAAGCUAACUCAAAGAGCUAGAUUUACAAAAGGAUUAAGAUGCCCAGUUCUCAUUCCAGGCACUUACAUUUACCAUUUGAAAAUAACCAGCAACAAUCCCUGCUUAGUUCAUUGCUUAGUUUGAACCAUGUACCUUUGCAGUGAAAUUCCUCAAAGCUUCUUUUAGGCUUACAGACCGGCAUGGAGACGGUAGGCUUUUUGGAUGGAAGUGGGAACUUCCUUAAAUUUUCAUUAUUAUUCAGAAAGAUCCUCUACAAGAGAAGAACAGUCAACUCGUGGCACAACUU